RNAcentral lists this transfer RNA (74 nucleotides) under Podarcis lilfordi (Lilford's wall lizard). Its description in RNAcentral is "tRNA.Lys". The stretch from base 6 to 63 matches the Rfam family "tRNA", at positions 8 to 63 of the family's 71-position model. From Rfam's summary of the family: Transfer RNA (tRNA) molecules are approximately 80 nucleotides in length. Their secondary structure includes four short double-helical elements and three loops (D, anti-codon, and T loops). Lineage: Eukaryota; Metazoa; Chordata; Lepidosauria; Squamata; Lacertidae. The record is from RNAcentral.
UUGGAUAGCUCAGUCAGUAGAGUAAGAGACUCUUAAUCUCAGGGUUGUGGGUUCAAGCCCCACAUUGGGCAAAA